Non-coding RNA from Erythranthe guttata (spotted monkey flower), 458 nucleotides. The record is from RefSeq and is a predicted model, not a curated record. NCBI's taxonomy places the organism in Eukaryota, Viridiplantae, Streptophyta, Magnoliopsida, Lamiales, Phrymaceae.
GGCAUUAAGAUAUUCAUCAAGUUGGAUUCGAGUGAACUCACCAAUGUUACUAGAAAUGUCGUGUACAAGGAAGUAUUUCAUCGAAUUUGAAGGUAGAUAAUAUUUUCAUAUUUACCAAUUAUUCAUGUAACAUGUCUUUUUUUUAACAACUUAUUCUUUGGCAGGUGUUUCUUCUCUAUAUAAUUUCCCCCGUGCGAUGUUAUUUUCAAUCAUGUCCCUAGGAUGCUCAGUGCAAAUUUUAUUAUCUUUAAGAUUUAUUUUUGACGAUAUACUAAUAUUUUAAUAUUAUUCUUAUGAUGUAACUAUGAAGAACAUGAUGCUUCAAUAUUGCUGGUCGCUUUUUGUAUUUAAAUUCAAUGAGCGUAAUAAUUUAUAUAUGCGUAAAUUUAUUUUUCAGACAUGUAUUUCCAGUUGAAAAUAUGCCACCCCGUGCAUCGCACGGGUGAAUACUAGUUUUA